UAUGGCUUUCCCCCAACACUCGGUGACAGCCCGAUGACCAACUCGAGCUUAUACGUGGGAAGCACGUACUCGUUACUUAGAAGUUGGAGGGACUGAUACUCAAUGGUAACGGCACGAAAGAACUCGAUGUUCAGUAUGAUGUGGCCAGGCUUGUGGAAUGAUUGUGGAUAUCUCUCAACUCGAUCGCGCAACAAGUCCAUGGCCAUGUUGAUGUGCUACAUCAAGGAAAACAAAGACAUAAAUACUUAUUUCAUUUACCAAAUUAAACAUAACGUAUACAAAAAGUAACAUUAACACUUCACUUACAUCGUCGGCGAGCCAAGCCCUCUGAGUGGUGAUAUCAUGGAACCACUUGUAUGCGUCCAAUAUCGUCUUUCCGGCUAUCAUGUGCGUGGCUCUGGAAAUAAAAUAGAAAAAACGUUAAACAAAGCAUAUACGAGUAAUUCUAGUCUACUAAAUCAUACAAUA
This 468-nucleotide long non-coding RNA is filed under the name Olea europaea (common olive). Its description in RNAcentral is "long non-coding RNA (OEUR_LNC003946)". The record is from RNAcentral. Lineage: Eukaryota; Viridiplantae; Streptophyta; Magnoliopsida; Lamiales; Oleaceae.